UACCAGGUAAUGCUGGGCGACUCUGGUGAGACUGCCCGUUACGGGGAGGAAGGUGGGACGACGUCAAGUCAUCAUGGCCCUUACGCCUAGGGCUACACACGUACUACAAUGGCGCAUACAAAGGGCAGCGAUACCGCGAGGUGGAGCCAAUCCCAAAAAGUGCGUCCCAGUCCGGAUUGCAGUCUGCAACUCGACUGCAUGAAGUUGGAAUCGCUAGUAAUUCGAGAUCAGCAUGCUCGGGUGAAUGCGUUCCCGGGCCUU
Molecule: ribosomal RNA, 261 nt
Filed under: uncultured Desulfovibrio sp.
Lineage: Bacteria; Pseudomonadati; Thermodesulfobacteriota; Desulfovibrionia; Desulfovibrionales; Desulfovibrionaceae
Description: partial 16S ribosomal RNA
Rfam family: Bacterial small subunit ribosomal RNA
Source: RNAcentral